RNAcentral lists this ribosomal RNA (253 nucleotides) under uncultured bacterium. RNAcentral's name for it is "partial 16S ribosomal RNA". It matches the Rfam family "Bacterial small subunit ribosomal RNA", at positions 524 to 776 of the family's 1533-position model. The record is from RNAcentral.
UACAGAGGUCUCAAGCGUUGUUCGGAUUCAUUGGGCGUAAAGGGUGCGUAGGCGGCGCGGUAAGUCGGGUGUGAAAUCUUGGAGCUUAACUCCGAAACUGCAUUCGAUACUGCCGUGCUUGAGGACUGGAGAGGAGACUGGAAUUUACGGUGUCGCGGUGAAAUGCGUAGAUAUCGUAAGGAGGACCAGUGGCGAAGGCGGGUCUCUGGACAGUUCCUGACGCUGAGGCGCGAAGGCCAGGGGAGCAAACGGG